CGGAAGUGAAAAGUGUUUUGGGGUGUAAUGUAUAAAGAAGCUAUUGCUUCUUCUUCUCCUUCAGCCGACCACCCCACACACCCACACACGCGCACGCAUGGAAGGGAGAGAGAAACCUCUCUUUCUCUCUCUAGAUUUCUCUCUCAUUUCUCCAAAUCUCUCGCUCAAAUUCGCGGCGUUGGCGGAGAAGAUGCUUGCGAACGCGUUGGGGGCGACGGAUCGAGCUUUCGUGCGCCCGUUGGAGCGGCGUGUUUUCGUCGCGGCGUUCACAUUGAGGUAAGCUUUUAGGAUUUGGCUUAAUCCUUAGUUUUAAGUGUUCUAAUAGCCUCUAAUGAGCAUUCUAAACAUGUUUUGUCACGCCCCGGAACCGAUGCCAAUUUGGCCCGACCCGAGCACGUCAAACAGACGCCGAACGGAUAGAGUUUCCCCUAUCCGCCCAAGGCUCAUCACAUGCACAUUUUCAUCAAUAGAGAAAAGCACUAGCGGAAACAUACAAAAACGGCUUACACGAGGGUAAGCAAUAGCCAUAAGUGAAAGAAAAAGGAAACUAAACAUUCUCAAGUAAUAUGAUUCAUUUUGAUCACAUACGUUGUAUCUAUCCAACUUGUACACCCAAAACCUUUACAUUCUUUCAUCAUUUCUUUUACAUCACAUUUACCUCAAAAUGAACAUUACAUUCUUUUCUUUACAUUACUAUCAUCAAAUACAAAAGAUGAUCAUAAGGUACUUUACUACAAAAUAAAACCCAACUGUGGUGGCCUCUGACUAAGGCGCGAUACCUUUACCGCGGUCGCUCGCCGGCUCGCUCGGUCCCGGCUCUGUGGAAUUAGUGGGGUGAGAACUACAACAAAGUUCCCAGUGGGUUCGGCCCCAACAUCACCGACUUUCCCACUAGGACUAACUCAGGCAUAAUAGAAAGGAUAAGUAAGAUAUAGUAACCAAUCUAUAACAUGAUGCUAAUAUGCCUGAACAAAUAGCAAUAAAUAUGCUCAACAUUAAAUAAAUGCAGGUUAUGCAUGUUCUUUAUUCUUUUCACAUUACUCUUUGUUCUUGUUCUUUGUACUUUGUUCUUUGCUCUUUGUUCUUUAAUCUCAAGGCUAACCCGGGGGUUUCGCCACAUUAACUUGCUUCACAUUAAGUCCAUCAUCGCAGGAACUCACCCGCUAGGACCGUCCUUACGGGUCUACUCCAACCCGGAUGCAUAACUCCGGAGCGCAUCGCCCGAGGGGGAGCGACCNAUGUUCUUUAUUCUUUUCACAUUACUCUUUGUUCUUGUUCUUUGUACUUUGUUCUUUGCUCUUUGUUCUUUAAUCUCAAGGCUAACCCGGGGGUUUCGCCACAUUAACUUGCUUCACAUUAAGUCCAUCAUCGCAGGAACUCACCCGCUAGGACCGUCCUUACGGGUCUACUCCAACCCGGAUGCAUAACUCCGGAGCGCAUCGCCCGAGGGGGAGCGACCACCCUCGAGCACGGAACUCAAUAGCAAGUAUGAUCAUAUCCUUAACUCAAAGGAUUAUAAGUUCAAUCUUGACUUUACACUAGCUCUAGUGUUCUUUACAUCACUUUAUGUUGCAAACUCAUGCAAUCACAUUCUUUACAUUCUCAUUACUCUUGCUAACUCUAGCAAUCAUUGUUCUUUGCAUCACACUAACUCUAGUGUCUCUUUACUUUACAUUUUCCAAUGCCACUCGAUCUAUGUCAUUGUGCCACUCUGUUCUUUUGCUCACUUUGGGUGCUCACAUUUUCUCUCAUGCAUACAUCUAGGGUUUUGACAUUAUUAGGUUCUCAACCAUCUCAUUAUGCAAGUUGUGCUCACAAUCAUGCAAUCAUCACAUUUCAUUAUUACUUUACCCUAAAAUGCAUGCAACAAUAUAUAGUACAUAUGCUCAAGGAAUGACACAUUAGGCAUAGAGAGAAUUUCAAUGAGUUUGGAAAGCACCACCCACCUUGCAGGUCUAUUUAGGUGCUCCGAUGAUUUUCUUGGGAUUUUUAGACCUCUCGUUCUUUACCUGCGGCAAAACGAACCCUUAUUAGGCCAUUUUGCUCAUAACUUUACUUUGACUUUUCGUAAUGCUAUUCCGAGCGCACCAAUGCGUCGGAAAUACCCCCAAUUAGGUUUUUAGAGGGUCAAUUGCACAUAGAAACCUUCAUGAGCAAAAGCCCCAAUUUGGGUGCCCUAGCUCCAUUGUAUAUCAAAACCUAGGGUUUGAUCUCAUUGGGAAGCAAAAGUAGCUUCAUUAUACUCUAAAUAACCCAUUAGAACCAUUCUUAGGCUUUCCAAAACCCUAGUUUGGAUUUCACCAUUAGAGGUGGCCCAAGCUCACCUAUGUAUCAAAACUAGGUUUUGAUCUCUUUAGAAGCAAAAGAAAGCUUCAAAACUACUAGAUAUUCCAUUAAAAACCAUCCUUAGGUUCAUUCAAACCCAUUUCUAGGGUUUUAGCAUGAUUAGGGUUGAAGCUUACCUCAAAGCUUUCCCUAACUUGCACUAGAGAGGAAGAAGAUGAAGCCUCUUUGCUCCAAAAGCUUCUUCUUCACCUUCUUCUCCUUCUUUUCCUUCCUUUCUCUCCUUCUUCUUCUUCUCCUUCUUUGUUUUCUAGAGAGAGAAAGAGAGGAGAGAGUGUGAGAGGGAGUGGAAUGAGAGGAAAUACCCCUCAGCCCACUAACAUAGCUCUAUGGGUUGCCAAAAUGCAAAUAAACCCCUCAACUUUCACUUUAAUACACUGCCCGAACUGGGCAGUUCGCGCAGGCAGAGACCGGUCUCCCCGAGCAGGGACCGGUUCCCGAACGUCCACCCUGCGCAGCCAGAGUCGCUGCGCGCGAUGCGACCGGUCUCUCUCCGAUGGGACCGGUCUCUGGGGGACCGGUCUCUCAAGCAGAGACCGGUUCCCGAGAGCUAUCCUUCCAGGACUUAGCCGAUUUUUCGGCUGUCUCCUUCUGCACGCGUUCGGGGACCGGUCUCUCCCUUCAGGGACCGGUCCCCGAGAGCUGAAAAUCUGCAGUUUUGCAGAAUUCAAUUCUUAAGCUCUCGAAAACCUUCCACAACUCACUUUCAAUCACUUUAACACCUUCGGACUUUCCGAAGUGUUCCAUCCUCGCACUUUGGUCAAUUUGACUAAAGUUCGACAUUUUUAUUUUCCGAAUUUUCGGUAUAUUACAUGUUUGCUCCAUUUAAUUUGGAUUAUUUAGAGGUUAAUUGCAUGUUAGGGCUCCGAAUGGGGUUUUGUAAAAUAGUAGGGUUUGAUCUCAUUUGACCCUCCGUAAACCUAAUUGCUAGGUAAACGAAUGCGUUGGCGAAGUCGGUUCGGCGAUUCGUCGAGCCGUUGUAAAGUUAUUAAAGAAACGGACGUUUAGGCUUCGUUUCCGCCUGGAGGGCCGAGGCGACAUCGCAAUGUCAUGAAAACGGAUUUGAAGCUUCGUGGCACAUAACCGAAGACCUUUAAUUUUCAGAUCGUGAAUUGGAGGCCGUUCGGGUGGUCACGCGAGAGAUCGGGCCAAACCGGGUUACGGGUGCCGCGGGAGGCCGAUUGCAAGUGUCGACAAGCAAUCGGAAUGCGAAAUGAGGUGGGUUGUGUUUACCGAAGCGACUAGGUCGCCUCUAUGUCUAAGAAAAAUGAGAUUUCAUAUUGAUGCAUGUUGACAUAUAAUGUGAAAUGCUAGAGGAAUGCAUUUGACAUAAUAUAAGAAUGUGAAAAGAAUGCAUGUUAACAUAUUAUAGAAAUGCUAGAUAAAUGCAUGUGAUUAAUGCUUUGAAUGCAUAAGAUAAAGGGCAUAUGAAUGUUAACAUUAUAAGAACAUGAUAAGAGGAAUGUAUGAUGACUUAGUGUAAAUAGUGCUAGAUGAAUGCAUUGAGUAAUGCUAAAGUUUACAUGAUAAGCAUGCAUGUGGAUAAUGCUAAGUAAUGGUAUGAUAAGCAUUAUGUAGAAAUAAUAAAUGCAAGCAUGUGGCUAAUACUAAGAUAUACUUGAUGAUCAUGUUGUAGAGAUACUAAUGUUAAGAAAUGGAAAUGUGCAUAUGGACAAUCUAUAUACAUUAGAUCGAGUGGCAUUAAACCUAGAAUCAUGGACAUAGGUUGAACAUGGAGGAUAUGAACCUAGUGUCAAAGAACAUAGGUUGGACAUCAAGUGGCAUUAAACCUAGUGUAUUGAACAUGGGUUGAACAAGUAUAGUGUAAACCUAGUGUCAUGAACCUAGCAAACACUUGUGGCAUUGAGCAUAUAUAUUUGUAUCAUUCAUACAUAAUAGGGCUAAGUACAUGUGAACCUUGGUUACUUUUAAUGACAUGUUUCUAACGUAGUUGAACAUAGAGAAAGAUAGAACCAUAAUGGACAUGUAUAUUAGGACCCUAUUAUUGUGUGAAUGUGAGAGUUGGACGUGGACAUUAGUAAACAAAGGCGACAUUGACAAUAGAGACAUUGUUUGGCAUAGAGAACAUAGUUGUUAAACAUAGUUUAACCAAGAGUGGCAUUGAGACAAGAAUGGCCUAGAGAGCGGCAUGAAUAAAUAGGUAGAAAACCUAUCAUGACAAGGGCAUUGUGACAAGUGGCUAAGUAUCCUCAAGUUGGGGAUUCGAUCGAUACUCAUGAUACGUCUUGGCUUGAGGGUGGUAGCUCCCCCUCAAGCGGUGAGUUUCCGGAAAUAGUCACCUCAGGAGCGAGUUCCCUGAUGACGGUCCCUAGGGGUGGUUCGAGGCCCCCUGUUAUGACGGGAUUUGGGUUAUGAGUUAUUGGGGUUAACAAAGUUAACCGGCAAGAUUGGGUAAAAGCCAAGUGAAUGUACAUUAAGCAUUAUGAGCUAUAGAUUGAGUAUCCCUGUCGAGUGGAUUUGGGGCUGAGGUGUAUGUGAGACGUCCAUUACCUCGAGCCUGGAUGUAUGCGGUAUUCCGCAGAUGAUUGACUCGGGACCGAGUCGGGUGGUUAGCUUGGCUAGGGUAGAGGAAAACCUUAGAAGCAAAUAACCAAUGAUGUAAAGUGACAAGAUAUAUAAAUUAUGAAAAAGCUAUGGAUAGCAUGAUAAAAAGUUAGAUCAUUUAUACUACUUGUAUAGUUGCAUGAUUCGCAUAUAGCAUGGCAUUAUUGCAUUCGUGAGGCAAAGCAUGGUUUUAUUAGUUGCAUAAUCAAGAUAUGUAUCUAUCUGUUUAUUGAACUAACCUGUUGUUGCCUCUUUUGGACCUAUUGGUCGAGCUCUUCCCUUGGGUGGCCGUACCCACUGGGAACCAUGGAGUUGGUUCUCACCCCACGUGGUUUUAGGGUGUUACAGGUUCACACGUGAGCGGCGCGGCGGCGCGAGGCGAGGGCGUAGUUCCAUAGCUAGCGCCCUACCACCGAGACCAGAGAUAGCGGUACCCUGAGUCGGCAUUACUUAGGGAUAUAAGAAAAUGAAAAUAAUCAAGUUGUAAUAAUAUUGUUAAAGCUAGAUUGUAUUUGGAAGCUAAAAAGAAUGUAAUAUGUAUUGGAAUGUAAAAUGUAUCUAGUGAAUGUGAAUGCUUGUAAUAACAUAGGAUGUGUUAUGUUGUUGAUAUCCUUCUUCUGCAAUCUUGCUUGAAUACUGUUCCUGGUUGGAACUCAUUGUACUUGUAUUGAUUGCUAUGCCUUGAACGUACAGGGGAGACUCUGUCCGCAGUACAGGGGAAACCCUGUCCGUUCGGG
Molecule: long non-coding RNA, 5645 nt
Filed under: Ananas comosus (pineapple)
Lineage: Eukaryota; Viridiplantae; Streptophyta; Magnoliopsida; Poales; Bromeliaceae
Description: long non-coding RNA (ACOM_LNC039523)
Source: RNAcentral